GAUGAACGCUGGCGGCGUGCCUAAUACAUGCAAGUCGAACGAACAGACGCUGCUCUUGCUCCUCUGACGUUACCGACGGGCGGGUAAGUCACACGUGGACAGCCUACCUAUAAGACUUGGAUAACUUCGGGAAACCGGAGCUAAUACCGGAUAAUAUCUUGAACCUCGUGGUUCGAUAGUUAAUUCCGGGUUUGCUGUCACUUCUAGAUGGAUCCGCGCCGCAUUGGCUAGUUGGUAAGGUAACGGCUUACCAAGGCAACGAUGCGUAGCCGAACUGAGAGGGUGAGCGGCCACAAUGGGACGGAGACACGGUCCAGACUUCUACGGGAGGCAGCAGUAGGGAAGCGGGCGCAAGGGGCGAAAGUCUGACGGAGCAACGACGCGUGAGGGAUGAAGGUCGUCGGAGCGUAAAACUCUGUUAGUAGGGAAGAACAAAUGUGUAAGUAACUAGGUUCGUCGUGACGGUACCUAAUUAGAAAGCCACGGCUAACUACGUG
RNAcentral lists this ribosomal RNA (497 nucleotides) under uncultured bacterium. RNAcentral's name for it is "partial 16S ribosomal RNA". It matches the Rfam family "Bacterial small subunit ribosomal RNA", at positions 28 to 507 of the family's 1533-position model. The record is from RNAcentral.